AAGGUCAAAGACAGAGAAUGGAUCACUGUCACCAAGCUGGGACAUGGGAUCAGAAAUAUGAAGAUCAAGUUCCUUAAGAUUUGUCUUUUCUUCCUGCCCAUUAAAUUGUCUGAGAUGAUUGAGUUUUCCUUGAGGACAUCCCUCAAGGUGGGUGGUUUGAUGAUCACAUCUGUGUAGCAUCACGGUCUAGCUGUGCAGUAGAUCAGAGUCAAGCCACUGGGGACUAUAGUGGAAACCCAGUAUGGAUGUUACUAUUGCAAAGAAGUAGGUACUGCCAUUCAAGGGGCUAACAUUUUUUCCUCUUUUUUUUAAAGAUAUUUUCUUUAUUUACAUUUCAAAUAUUAUCCCCUUUCCUAGUUUCCCCUCUGAAAAUUCCUUAUUCCCUCCCCCAUGCCCCUGCUCCCCAACCGACCCACUCCCAUUCCCAGUCCUGGCAUUCCCCUAUACUGUGGCAGAGAACCUUCACAGGGCCUAGGGCCUCUCCUCCCACUGAUGACAGACUAGGCUGUCCUCUGCUACAUAUGCAGCUAGAGCCACAAAUUCCACC
This 547-nucleotide long non-coding RNA is filed under the name Mus musculus (house mouse). RNAcentral describes it as "long non-coding RNA chr2:8633936-8634483". Lineage: Eukaryota; Metazoa; Chordata; Mammalia; Rodentia; Muridae. The record is from RNAcentral.